RNAcentral lists this unclassified non-coding RNA (303 nucleotides) under Hevea brasiliensis (rubber tree). The record is from RNAcentral. Lineage: Eukaryota; Viridiplantae; Streptophyta; Magnoliopsida; Malpighiales; Euphorbiaceae.
UGCAGUUGAUUUCUAUAAUCGCUACAAAGAAGAUAUACAAAAUGUAAAGGCUAUGGGUUUCGAUGCUUUCCGAUUAUCCAUUUCAUGGCCCAGAGUUAUACCUAGUGGAAGGAGACGUGAAGGAGUGAACAAGGAAGGGAUUAAAUUUUAUAAUGAUGUUAUCAAUGAAAUUAAAAACAAUGGCCUAAAACCUUUUGUUACUCUUUUUCAUUGGGACACUCCUCAAGGCCUAGAGGACAAAUAUGGUGGCUUUUUAAGCAGUAAUAUCGUGAAUGAUUUUCGUGAUUAUGCGGAUCUUCUCUU